AACCAAGCUCAUGCGCCGUAGCUCUUCAGCUCGGGAAGGCUAUAUUUAGCAGGUUUCCGGAAGUUGCAGGACUGGCUGUGAGGCGGUCCUGCCUCGCUGCCUUCAGUCCCUAGUGUCUGGGUCCCCGCCCUCCAGCCGCCUUUGAGUCGUGCCUGGGUCCUCGCCCUUGCCUCAGAACCGCGAAGAAAGGAAGCUCGCGUGUUUGCUAGGAAACCUAGUUGGGAGUGCGAGGCAGAGAACGUUCAGCACCUUUGUUCCUCCCGAACCCUCGGGACAGAGGCAGGGUUCUGAGGGCAGGGAUUCCCCCUCGUCUUGGCCCCACCGCCCGGGCUGGGCACUAAACUCGGGCCGCGGCGGGGCGAGCGAGGCGGGCUCCGGAGGGAGCUGACGCCUGAUGAUGGCGCAGUCCAACAUGUUCACCGUGGCUGAUGUGUUGAGUCAAGAUGAACUGCGCAAAAAGCUAUACCAGACGUUUAAGGAUCGGGGUAUACUGGAUACACUCAAGACACAACUUCGAAACCAGCUAAUUCAUGAGUUGAUGCACCCUGUAUUGAGUGGAGAACUGCAGCCUCGGUCCAUUUCAGUAGAAGGGAGCUCCCUCUUAAUAGGCGCCUCUAACUCUUUAGUGGCAGAUCACUUACAAAGAUGUGGCUAUGAAUAUUCACUUUCUGUUUUCUUUCCAGAAAGUGGUUUGGCAAAAGAAAAGGUAUUUACUAUGCAGGAUCUAUUACAACUCAUUAAAAUCAACCCUACUUCCAGUCUCUACAAAUCACUGGUUUCAGGAUCUGAUAAAGAAAAUCAAAAAGGUUUUCUUAUGCAUUUUUUAAAAGAAUUGGCAGAAUAUCAUCAAGCUAAAGAGAGUUGUAAUAUGGAAACUCAGACAAGUUCGACAUUUAACAGAGAUUCUCUGGCUGAGAAGCUUCAGCUUAUUGAUGAUCAGUUUGCAGAUGCUUACCCUCAGCGUAUCAAGUUCGAAUCUUUAGAAAUAAAGCUAAAUGAGUAUAAGAGAGAAAUAGAAGAGCAACUUCGGGCAGAAAUGUGUCAAAAGUUGAAGUUUUUUAAAGAUACCGAGAUAGCAAAAAUUAAAAUGGAAGCAAAAAAAAAGUAUGAAAAGGAGUUAACCAUGUUCCAGAAUGAUUUUGAAAAAGCUUGUCAAGCAAAAUCUGAAGCUCUCGUUCUUCGGGAAAAGAGUACCCUUGAAAGAAUUCACAAGCACCAAGAGAUUGAAACAAAAGAAAUUUAUGCUCAAAGGCAACUUUUACUAAAAGAUAUGGAUUUGCUAAGAAGAAGAGAAGCAGAGCUGAAGCAAAGAGUUGAAGCUUUUGAAUUGAACCAGAAGCUCCAGGAAGAAAAACAUAAAAGCAUAACUGAGGCACUUAGGAGACAGGAGCAGAAUAUAAAGAGUUUUGAGGAGACCUAUGACCGAAAGCUCAAGAAUGAACUUCUAAAGUAUCAACUUGAACUGAAGGAUGACUACAUCAUUAGAACUAAUCGACUGAUUGAAGAUGAAAGGAAGAAUAAAGAAAAAGCUGUUCAUUUGCAAGAGGAGCUCAUAGCUAUUAAUUCAAAAAAGGAGGAACUCAAUCAAUCUGUAAAUCGUGUGAAAGAACUUGAGCUUGAAUUAGAGUCUGUCAAAGCCCAGUCUUUGGCAAUAACAAAACAAAACCAUAUGCUGAAUGAAAAGGUUAAAGAGAUGAGUGAUUAUUCACUACUAAAAGAAGAGAAACUGGAGCUUCUGGCACAAAAUAAAUUACUUAAACAACAACUGGAAGAGAGUAGAAAUGAAAACUUGCGUCUCCUAAACCGCCUAGCUCAGCCGGCUCCUGAACUUGCAGUCUUUCAGAAAGAACUACGGAAAGCCGAAAAGGCUAUAGUGGUUGAGCAUGAGGAGUUCGAAAGCCGCAGGCAAGCUCUGCACAAACAACUGCAAGACGAAAUUGAGCAUUCUGCACAGCUGAAGGCCCAGAUUCUAGGUUACAAAGCUUCUGUAAAGAGUUUAACUACUCAGGUUGCCGAUUUAAAAUUGCAACUGAAGCAAACUCAGACAGCCCUAGAGAAUGAAGUGUACUGCAAUCCAAAGCAGUCUGUGAUCGAUCGUUCUGUCAAUGGAUUAAUAAAUGGCAAUGUGGUGCCUUGCAAUGGUGAGAUAAGCGGGGAUUUCUUGAACAAUCCUUUUAAACAGGAAAAUGUUCUAGCACGUAUGGUUGCAUCAAGGAUCACAAAUUAUCCAACUGCAUGGGUGGAGGGUAGUUCCCCUGAUUCUGAGCUUGAGUUUGUAGCCAAUACUAAGGCAAGGGUCAAAGAGCUUCAGCAAGAGGCCGAACGCUUGGAAAAGGCUUUCAGAAGUUACCAUCGGAGAGUCAUUAAAAACUCUGCCAAAAGCCCACUAGCAGCAAAGAGCCCACCAUCUCUGCACUUGCUGGAAGCCUUCAAAAACAUUACUUCCAGUUCCCCGGAAAGACAUAUUUUUGGAGAGGACAGAGUUGUCUCUGAGCAGCCUCAAGUGGGCACACUUGAAGAAAGGAAUGACGUCGUGGAAGCACUGACAGGCAGUGCAGCCUCGAGGCUCCGCGGGGGCACUUCCUCCAGACGCCUCUCCUCCACACCCCUUCCAAAAGCAAAAAGAAGCCUCGAAAGUGAAAUGUAUCUGGGAGGUCUGGGCAGAUCACACAUUGCUUCCCCCAGUCCUUGUCCUGACAGAAUGCCCCUACCAUCACCCACUGAGUCUAGGCACAGCCUCUCCAUCCCUCCUGUCUCCAGCCCUCCGGAGCAGAAAGUGGGUCUUUAUCGAAGACAAACUGAACUUCAAGACAAAAGUGAAUUUUCAGAUGUGGACAAGCUAGCUUUUAAGGAUAAUGAGGAGUUUGAAUCAUCUUUUGAAUCUGCAGGGAACGUGCCAAGGCAGUUGGAAAUGGGCGGGCUUUCUCCUGCCGGGGAUAUGUCUCAUGUGGACGCUGCUGCAGCUGCUGUGCCCCUCUCAUAUCAGCACCCAAGUGUAGAUCAGAAACAAAUUGAAGAACAAAAGGAAGAAGAAAAAAUACGGGAACAGCAAGUGAAAGAACGAAGGCAGAGAGAAGAAAGAAGGCAGAGUAACCUACAAGAAGUUUUAGAAAGGGAACGAAGAGAACUGGAAAAACUGUAUCAGGAAAGGAAGAUGAUUGAAGAAUCACUGAAGAUUAAAAUAAAAAAGGAAUUAGAAAUGGAAAAUGAAUUAGAAAUGAGUAAUCAAGAAAUAAAAGACAAAUCUGCUCACAGUGAAAAUCCUUUAGAGAAAUACAUGAAAAUCAUCCAGCAGGAGCAAGACCAGGAGUCGGCAGAUAAGAGCUCAAAAAAGAUGGUCCAAGAAGGCUCCCUAGUGGACAUGCUGCAAUCUAGUGACAAAGUCGAAAGGUGACUAAGAGUGGGAUUAGUGACCUUAUAAAAGGGCUCAAUGGAACUAGCUAGGCCCUUUUGCCCUUCCACCAUUUGAAGACACUGCAUUGAUCCCCGCUGGAGAACACAGCAACAAGGCACCAUCUUGGAAGCAGAGACCGGGCCUUCACCAGACAUCGAACCUGCCAGUGCCUUCCUUGAUCUUCGACUUCCCAGCCUCUAAAACUAGAACUGGGUGACCUUUUUCUUCAAAUUUUCAUCUGGCUUAUUUGAGGGUCAUUUGGUAGUGAAGCAUGUGAUCAUAAAAAAAUUGUUUUAAAUUUAGAACAUAUUUGCAAAGUAUUUUCCAGAAGGUGUGACAAAACAAAAUCCAGAUUAAAACGGUUCUCUUCCAUUUCAUCUUCA
Molecule: RNA transcript, 3777 nt
Organism: Pan troglodytes (chimpanzee)
Lineage: Eukaryota; Metazoa; Chordata; Mammalia; Primates; Hominidae
Gene: OFD1
Gene name: OFD1 centriole and centriolar satellite protein
Exons: 24
Source: RefSeq, a predicted model, not a curated record